Molecule: non-coding RNA, 285 nt
Organism: Vicia faba (fava bean)
Lineage: Eukaryota; Viridiplantae; Streptophyta; Magnoliopsida; Fabales; Fabaceae
Source: the annotation of a GenBank genome assembly
AUGUGCUUGUUUGUUGCAUUAAGAUUUGAAUGGCACAUGCAUAAGCAUAAGCAUAAGCGAUUAAUGGAAAAUUUUGAGAACCAGUAUAGUGCUGUUCCUGUAAGCAACCAUGUUGUUGUGGAUCCAAUUCAGAAGGAAAUUAUGGAUUCAACACAACUCGUAGGAGAUACAACCACUGCUACUACUACCGACACCGGGGAGAAGAAACACCUUCACAAGAGCAAGAAAGGAAUAAUUGAUAAGAUUAAGGAGAAGCUAACACACCGUCAUGAUCAUCAUAAAUAA